RNAcentral lists this long non-coding RNA (368 nucleotides) under Homo sapiens (human). Its description in RNAcentral is "HSALNT0180476". Lineage: Eukaryota; Metazoa; Chordata; Mammalia; Primates; Hominidae. The record is from RNAcentral.
CCCAAACUUCAAGGUGCUUAAUAGUUGAUAUAAACAACAAAAUUCUGUCAUAAGAAUGAAGGGUGGCAGGAUUUGGUAGUAGAGCAACGUACCAGCCACUGGCUUGAGUUCAGCAAAAAAACUGAGUGGAGUUCAAGUCGUCACUGUGGAUCUUAAAACUAAAGACAUGAAACUGAAGCAGAAGUUUAAAAUGAACGAAGAGAAAAUGUAGACACAAAGAGAAUAGCAUGUUCAAAAAUCACAGAGCUGGCAAAUGGCAGAUCCAGGAUGUAAACCCCCAGGAUUACCCUAGUAGAAAUGGGAAGAACAACAUUAGGAAGACGAAACUGCAAUCAGGGAGGUGAGUUAAAAAUGUACGGUAAUAUUCU